RNAcentral lists this long non-coding RNA (232 nucleotides) under Manihot esculenta (cassava). RNAcentral describes it as "long non-coding RNA (MESC_LNC005601)". Lineage: Eukaryota; Viridiplantae; Streptophyta; Magnoliopsida; Malpighiales; Euphorbiaceae. The record is from RNAcentral.
GGAAGGGUUUGGAAGAACUAUCCUUUCAUUCCGGAGAGGAGCUCGAAUAAGGUAAAGUGGAGUGUCUAAAUAACUCCGAGAAAUAUACUUGGUUAUGGAAGAAGGAGUAAUGUGCGACUCGAGAUUAGCAACAUCGGGAAGCCUAGAACCCUCCAUGGAAGAGUAAGAGAGCGUACCUGAAAUGCAAUAAGGUUGAGAAAGUAGAAGAAGUCGAAGGAAAACAGAGAGCAGA